AGUAAGGUAUGUUAUAUAAACAUUUACCGUUCAAAGGUAGAAAUGACUGCUAUCAGGUCUCUUACUU
RNAcentral lists this transfer RNA (67 nucleotides) under Haematopinus asini. Its description in RNAcentral is "tRNA-Trp". Lineage: Eukaryota; Metazoa; Arthropoda; Insecta; Psocodea; Haematopinidae. The record is from RNAcentral.